CCUACGGGAGGCUGCAGUGAGGAAUAUUGGUCAAUGGGCGCGAGCCUGAACCAGCCAAGUCGCGUGAGGGAAGACGGCCCUACGGAUUGUAAACCUCUUUUGCCGGGGAGCAACGGCCGCCACGUGUGCCCCCAGUGAGAGUACCCGCAGAAUAAGCAUCGGCUAACUCCGUGCCAGCAGCCGCGGUAAUACGGAGGAUGCGAGCGUUAUCCGGAUUUAUUGGGUUUAAAGGGUGCGUAGGCGGAGUGUUAAGUCAGUGGUAAAAUGGAGGGGCUCAACCCCGUCCGGCCGUUGAAACUGGGGAGCUUGAGUGGACGAGAAGUAUGCGGAAUGCGUGGUGUAGCGGUGAAAUGCAUAGAUAUCACGCAGAACCCCGAUUGCGAAGGCAGCAUGCCGGCGCCCUACUGACGCUGAGGCACGAAAGCGUGGGGAUCGAACAGGAUUAGAUACCCUAGUAGUC
This 460-nucleotide ribosomal RNA is filed under the name uncultured bacterium. RNAcentral describes it as "partial 16S ribosomal RNA". It matches the Rfam family "Bacterial small subunit ribosomal RNA", at positions 338 to 795 of the family's 1533-position model. The record is from RNAcentral.